CUGGACCUUCGCGGCCCGUUAAAUCCGGCGCUCACCGAAUCCCGCUUGCUUUGCUCGGCGGUGUUGGUGUUGCGCCCGGUGGGCCCCGUGGUCUUAAGCACAAGCCGCGCCGUUGUCCGUGUUCGUCUCGGGACGUCCGCGACGCCGCCUUGCUCUCGGCGGCGGCCAAAUUUCCUCUCCGUCACCGCCAUGCGGGACCCGGCUCGCUCUCGCUAACGGGCCCGCUUGUAACCAGCUCGAGGGUGAUUGCGGAGGAGAGAAGCUUACGCAGACGCGCUCGCUUGACGUAUCGGCGCCCGUACGAAGAAAAAAAAAAAUAAUUUUUUUUUUACCAAUUUCCGACCUCAGAUCGGACGAGAUUAC
This 363-nucleotide unclassified non-coding RNA is filed under the name Orientogalba viridis. RNAcentral describes it as "sequence contains ITS2". Lineage: Eukaryota; Metazoa; Mollusca; Gastropoda; Lymnaeidae. The record is from RNAcentral.